GAUGAACGCUGGCGGCGUGCCUAAUACAUGCAAGUCGAGCGAAUGGAUUAAGAGCUUGCUCUUAUGAAGUUAGCGGCGGACGGGUGAGUAACACGUGGGUAACCUGCCCAUAAGACUGGGAUAGCUCCGGGAAACCGGGGCUAAUACCGGAUAACAUUUUGAACCGCAUGGUUCGAAAUUGAAAGGCGGCUUCGGCUGUCACUUAUGGAUGGACCCGCGUCGCAUUAGCUAGUUGGUGAGGUAACGGCUCACCAAGGCAACGAUGCGUAGCCGACCUGAGAGGGUGAUCGGCCACACUGGGACUGAGACCCGGCCCAGACUCCUACGGAAGGCAGCAGUAGGGAAUCUUCCGCAAUGGACGAAAGUCUGACGGAGCAACGCCGCGUGAGUGAUGAAGGCUUUCGGGUCGUAAAACUCUGUUGUUAGGGAAGAACAAGUGCUAGUUGAAUAAGCUGGCACCUUGACGGUACCUAACCAGAAAGCCACGGCUAACUACGUGCCAGCCGCCGCGGUAA
Molecule: ribosomal RNA, 515 nt
Filed under: uncultured bacterium
Lineage: Bacteria
Description: partial 16S ribosomal RNA
Rfam family: Bacterial small subunit ribosomal RNA
Source: RNAcentral